GAUGAACGCUAGCGGCGUGCCUAAUACAUGCAAGUCGAGCGAACGGACGAGAAGCUUGCUUUUCUGAUGUUAGCGGCGGACGGGUGAGUAACACGUGGAUAACCUACCUAUAAGACUGGGAUAACUUCGGGAAACCGGAGCUAAUACCGGAUAAUAUUUUGAACCGCAUGGUUCAACAGUGAAAGACGGUCUUGCUGUCACUUAUAGAUGGAUCCGCGCUGCAUUAGCUAGUUGGUAAGGUAACGGCUUACCAAGGCAACGAUGCAUAGCCGACCUGAGAGGGUGAUCGGCCACACUGGAACUGAGACACGGUCCAGACUCCUACGGGAGGCAGCAGUAGGGAAUCUUCCGCAAUGGGCGAAAGCCUGACGGAGCAACGCCGCGUGAGUGAUGAAGGUCUUCGGAUCGUAAAACUCUGUUAGUAGGGAAGAACAGAUGUGUAAGUAACUGUGCACAUCUUGACGGUACCUAAUCAGAAAGCCACGGCUAACUACGUG
This 497-nucleotide ribosomal RNA is filed under the name uncultured bacterium. RNAcentral describes it as "partial 16S ribosomal RNA". It matches the Rfam family "Bacterial small subunit ribosomal RNA", at positions 28 to 507 of the family's 1533-position model. The record is from RNAcentral.